CCAAUACCACUUUCAUCUACAUCACCACCUUCUGGACCAUUCAGAGGUAAUCUGGGGUCAUCCAAAUCCACAGCCCUGUCUUAAGCCCCCAGUUGUUUGUGGGAUCCUACAGGUAAACAUUAAGAAGUUCUGAGCACUUUCAAAAAUAAUCAUAAUGACUGAUCUUGAAUGAAGACCACAUAGUUGUCAGUCACUGUGUCGGUCUAUCUGUCCUUCCUUCCUUCUCUCUCUCUCAAAAAUAAUUUCUAUUUGGAAUUUAUCCAUUGUUAGCCAAUCUUUCGCUAUGGUUAACUUUUUAGGAUUAGUCUUUGUUUUUAAUUUUAUAAAAGUAUAAUUGAGAAGCACUGAGAAAAGUCUAUGUAUAUAUACAUGUACACAUAUAUAUAAUCAGUGCAAAGGUUGAUGAAUUUUCACAAACUGAACACACCGCUGUAAGCAGCACCCAGAUCAAGAAACAGAACUUCACUACCCCUCAGUCGCUACACUUUCCUAAGGGAAACUCACCACCCUGACUUCUAAAAACACAGAUUAGGUUUACCUUGCUGUUUUCUCAAAAUUCACUGUUUUGCUUUGUUUUGUGAAACGAUACCAGAAUAAAACAAAUACCAAUUAUUUUUAAUUAUAUGGUUAGAAAGAACACGUUUUAAAAAUGGACUAAGGAACAAACAAUAUUACUUGUCCCAAAAGUAUUUUGGCAUUAUGUGAGUAGAUCUUUUAUUAUCGUUUUGCCUUAUGGUCUAUUUUGUGUUUUGUGGUAGAUUUUUUGAGGAAUGAAUGUGGAACAUUAAAUGGGAUAUAUGAGGAUGUAAUGAUGCUGGCUGAAGGCUGAAGAAGAAUAUGUAUUCAUGAUAACUUUUUUAUUGCAUCAAAAUGUACAUACAGCAAAUUCACAGAUAAGUGUGCAAUUUAAUGGAGUUUUGAGUAAUGCAAAUACCCACGUAACCACCACCCCAAUCAAGACUGAUAAUAUUCCUAUCAUCCCAGAAAGUUCCCUCAUGGCCCUUCCAGUUCAUGCCAUGGCAACCACUGUUCUAAUUUUUUUUUUUUUUUGAGGAAGAUUAGCCCUGAGCUAACUACUGCCAAUCCUCUUUUUUCUGAGGAAGGCUGGCCCUGAGCUAACAUCCGUGCCCAUCUUCCUCUACUUCAUAUGUGGGAUGCCUACCACAGCAUAGCAUGCCAUGUGGUGCCACGUCCACACCCAGGAUCCAAACGGGUGAACCCCGGGCCGCUGAGGAGCAGAACGUGUGAACUUAACCGCUGCGCCACUGCCCGGUCCCCCACUGUUCUAAUUUUGAUCACUGUAGAUCAGUCUUCCCUACUCGUGAAUUUCAUACACAUGUAAUCAUAGACUAUGUACCACUUGUACAACACAAUGCUUUUGAGAUUCAUCUACAUUGUUGCGUGUAUCAGUUGUUUAUUCUUUUUUUAAUAUUGAGUAGGACCUCACUGUAUAAAUAUAUACAAUUUAUUUAUUCAUCCUUCUAAUAGACAUCUGAGUUGUGCCCAUUUUUGUGGACAUAUGUCCUCUUUUUCUCUUGAGUAAACACGUAGGAAUGGAAUUUGUUUUGUGAUGAAGUGGUUCCAGGUUUAACUUUUUAAGAAACUUAGUUUCCAAAGUGAGUGUACCAUCUUACACUCCCACCAGCAAUGUAUGAGAGCUGCAGUAGCCCCAGUUGCUCCACAUCCUCUCCAACAAUAGAUAUCAUCAAUCUUUUGAAUUUUGACCAUUCUGAUGGGUGUGAGUGGUACGUCAUUGUGCUUUUGUGUUUCCCUGAUGACUAAUGAUAAGGAGUAACUUUAUAUGCACUUAUUGUCUAUUUGUAUAUCUUCCUUUGUAAAGUGUCUAUUCAAUAUUGUUCUGUUUUUGGCUUUUACUGAGUUGUAGGAAUUCUUUAAACAUUCUGGAUGUAAGUCCUUUGUCAGAUGCAUGUACGUAAAUAUUUCCUGCAGUCGGCGACUUGCCUUUGCAUGCUGUCAGUGCUGACUUUUGCUGAGCAGAGGUUUUUAAUUUUGAAGAAAUCCAAUUUGUCAAUAUAUUUUUUUGCAGUUAGUGUUUUUUGGGUCCUCUCUAAGAAAUUUCUGCCUACCUGAAGUUCAUGAAGAUAUUCUUGUAUGUAUUCUGCUAGCUUUAUAGUUCUAGCUUUUAUGUUUAGGCCUAUAACCUAUCUCAAAUUAAUUUUAAACGUGAUGUGGAGUAGAAGUCAAGGCUCAUUUUUUUCUAUACAUUUUCCUAGUUUUUCCAGUCGAUUUGCUGAAAAAAAUGUUUCUUCUCACUGAAGGGGCCAUUGCCUUCACAUUUUUGUAAAAAAUCGACUGAAUACAUAUAAAUCUAUCUCUGGAUUCUUCAUUAUGACCCACUGAUCUAUUUCUCUAUGAUUCCAUCAAUACCACACCAUCUUGAUUACUAGUUUUUGAUGCGUUUUGAACUCAGGAAAUGUGAGCUCUCCAACUUGGUUGUUUAUUUUCAAGAUUGUUUGGGCUAUUCUAGGUCCUACGCACUUCCAUUUCCAUUUCAGAAACAUCUUGUCAGUUCUACAAAAAAUCUUGUUGCUAUUUGGAUUGAAAUUAUGUUGAAACUAUAAAUGUCCCUAGUUCGAUGUGGAGAGAACUCACAUCUUAACAAUACUGAGUCUCCAAACCACGUACAUAGUUUAUCCAUUUAGAUCUUUAAUUUCUCUUAGCACUGUUUUCUACUUUUUUAUAUACAGGUCUUGCACACUUUUAAAGUUAUUCUUAAGUAUUUUUUGAUGCUAUUUAUCAAUGAAAUAGUUUUUAAAACUUCAUUUCCAACUAUUUGCUGCUAGAAUAAAAAAUAUAAUUUAUUUUAUAUAUUGACUUUGUAUCCUGUGACCUUAUUAAAAGUACUUAUUAGUCCUAAUAUUUUCUUUAAAAAUUUUCACAUAAAUAAUCACGGCAUCCAUAAAUAUAGAGAGGCUUGCUCUUUUUCCCCAAUCUACACAGCAUUUCUGCCUUGUUACACUAGCUGGGAAUUUCAGUACAAUAGUCAAUAGGAAUGGUUAAGAGCAGACAUUCUUGCCUUGUUCCCAAUCUUAGGAGAAAAGCCUUCAAUGUUUCAGGAUAAAUAUGAUGUUAACUAGGAUUUUCAUAUAUGUCCCUUAUAAGAUUGAAAAAGUUGUCUUCUCAUCCAAGUUUGCUAACACUUUUGGUCAUGGACACAAUUUUGGAAUGGACAGUGAAUUUUGUCAGACACUUUUUCUGUAUCUUUUGAAAUGAUCAUAUGCUUUUACCCAUUUAUGUUAAUAUGGUGAAUUAUAUUAGCUGACUUUUAAAUGUCCUACCAUCUUUCCAUUCCUUGGAAAAACUCUACUUAGUAAUGAUGUAUUAUCACAUUAUAACCACUGGGUUCAAUUUGCUAAUAUCAUGCUAGGGAUUUCUGUGUCUGUUUCAUGAGGAAUACUGGUCUGUAGUUUUCUUAUGAUGCCUCUGUCAGGUUUUGGUAUCAGGAUUAUGCUGACUUCCUAAGAUGAUUUGAGAAAUAUUUUCUUUUCAGUUUUCUGAAAGAGUUUGAGUAAGAGUUGUAUUAUUUCUUCCUUCUGUGUUUGACAGUACUCACCAGGAAAGCACUCUGGGCCUAGAAUUUCCUUGCAGGAAGAAUUCAAUAUCAAAUUCAAUUUUGUUAAUAGAUAAUGGACCAUUCAGAGUAUUUCAAGUUGUAUCAGUUUUGUUAUGCUGUGUUUUUCAAGGAAUUUGUCCGCCUCCUAUAAGUGAUGCAAUUUAUUGGCAUAGAGUCUCUCAUAAUAUUCCCUUAUUUUUUGAUGUUUGUAGUCUAUAAUGCUAUCUUCUCUUUCAUUUCUGAUACUGGUAAUUCGUGAGCUUUCUCCCUUUUUUCUUGUUCAGUUCUGCUAGGGAUUUUACAAGAGAUUUACCGAAAUAUAAUUGACAUAUAAUAAACUGCACAUAUUUAAAGUAUACAAUUUGAUGAAUGCUGACAAGUAUACAUGAGUGAAACCAUCACCACAAUCAAGAUAAUGAAUAUUUCCAUCACCCACAAAAGUUUACUCAUGGCUCACUGUAAUUCCUCUCUCCCUCCACCCCUAUCUCCAUGCAACCAUUGAUUUGCUCUCUGGAACUAUAGUUUGCAUUUUCUAGAAGUUUAUAUAGAUAAAUUCAUGUGGUAUAUACCAUAUUAUUUGAUCCGCUUCUUUCACUCAGCAUAAUGAUUUUGAGACUCAUCCAUACUAUUGCAUGUAUCACAAAUUUGUUCUUUUUUGUGGCUGAAUAGCAUGUUCUAAAGAAAUACCAAAAUUUAUUUUUUCAUUCACCUGGUGAUGGACAUUGGAGUUCUUUCCAAUUUUUGCCCAUAAUCAAUAAAACUAAUAUGAACAUUCAUGUAUAAGCCUGUGGAUGGAUAUAUGCUUUCAUUUCUCUACCUAAAGUAGAAAUAUUGGAUUGUAUGGCAUAUUUUUAACUUUUUAAAGAAAUUAUCAAACUGUUUUCCAAAGUAAUUGUACAAUUUUAUAUUUUCAUCAGCAGUGUAUGAGAAUUCCAGUUGCUCCACAUCUUCUCCAACAUUCUAUGGUCAGUUCAAAAAAUUUUAGACAUUCUAAAGGCUUAAAAAAACUAUAAAAUGAUAGUUUUCAAAAAUUAUAUAAUAGUUUUAUCAUAUUGUUUUAAUUUGCAGCUACCUACUGACAAAUGAUGUUGAGCAUCUUUUCAUGUGUUUAUUUGCCAUCUACAUAUCUUCUUCAGUAAAGUGUCUGUUCAAAUCUUUAGGUCAUUUUCAAAUUGGUCAUUUGUCUUCUUAUUAAAGAGUUGUUAGAGGUCUUUAUAUAUUGCAGAUAAAAGUCUUUUGUCAAUUAUAUGUUUUGCAAAUAUUUCCUCCCAGGCUAUGGCUUGCCUUUGCCUUCUCUUAACAGUGUCUUUUGAAAAACACAGCUUUUUAAUUUUGAUAACAUCCACUCAGCAUAAUGCUCUUGUGAUCCAUCCAAGUUGUUGCAUCUAUCAAUAAUAUCCUCCUUUUUAUUGCUGAGUAGUAUUUCAUGGUAUGGAUGUACCACAAUUUAUUUAACCAUUCACCCAGUGAAGUUCAUCUGGGUUGUUUCCUUUUUAUCUGUAAAAUCUGUCUACAGGUUUUUGUGUAAACAAAAGUCUCCAUUUCUCUGGAUGAAUGCCCAACAGUGCAAGUGCUGGGUCAUGCUGCAUGUUUAGUUUCACAAGAAACUGCCAAAUUGUUUUCCAUAGUGGCUACACCAUUUUACAUUCCCCUUAUCAACGUAUGAGUGAUCUGGAUUCUCCACAGCCUUGCCAGCAUUUGAUAUUAUCACUAUUUAUUUCAGCCAUUCUGGUAUAUGUGCAGUGAUAGCUCACUGUGGUUUUAAUUUGCAUUUCCCUAAUGGCUAAUGAUGUUGAACAAUUUUUCAUGUGCUUAUUUGCUUAUCUGUAUAUCCUCUUCAGUGAAAUGUCUGCUCAUGUUUUUUGCCCAUAUUCUAAUUAAAUUGUUUGCUUUUUAUUGUUGAGUUUCAAGAAUUCCUUAUGUAUUCUAGAUACAAGUGAUUUGUUAAAUAUGUAAUUUACAAGUAUUUUCUCACAGUCAGUAGUUUGUCUUUACAUCCUUCUUAAGAGGGUGUUUUGCAGAGGAAAAAAUUUAAAUAUGGAUGAGGUUGAAUUUAUCAAUUUUUCCUUUUAUGGAUCAUGCUUUUUGUACCAACUUUCUUUUGUCUAGCCCUAGAUCCUGAAGAUUUUCUCUUAUGUAGUCUUCUAAAUGUUUAUAGUUUUAUGUCUUAUGUUAAUUUCAUAAUCUGUUUUGAGUUAAUUUUUGCAUGUUUGCUCAGUGUUCUUUUUUUUUUUUUUGCCUAUGGAUAUCUAAUUGCUCCUCCAGCACCAUUUGUUGAAAAGGAUAUCCUUCCUCUGUUGAAUCGCUUUCUCAUCUUUGUAAAAAAUCAGUUGGGCAUAUUUGUGUGGGUCUAUUUCUGGGUUCUCUAUUCUGUUCUAUUUUCCUAUGUAUCUAUCCCUUCACCAAUACCACACUGUCUUAAUUACGGUAGCUCUGGUAAUCCCUCCAAUACCAGUUUUGAUUACUGUAGCUCUAUAGUAAGCCUUAGUGUCAGGUAAAGUAAUUCCUCCCACUUUACUCUUUUUUGUUGUUUUAGCUAUUCCAGGCCUGGUGUCUUUCUACAUAAAUUUUAGAAUAUGGUUAUGUCUAUUAAAAAAAACUUGCGUGGAUUUUGAUAGGAAUUGCAUCAAACAUAUAGAUCAAUUUGGGGUGAAGUGACAUCUUCAUUAUAUUGAAUAUUCCAACACAUGAAUAUGGUAUGUCUCUCCAUUUAGUUAGGUCUUUGAUUUAUUUUCUCAGCAUCUUAUAAUUUUCAGCAUACAGAUCCUGCACAUAUUUUGUUAAGUUUCUACUAAGUAUUUUGUUUUCCUUGGAGUGACUGUAAAUACUAUGGCAUUAAAAAAAUACUUUUUUUUCUCUAGAGCAGUUUUAAGCUUCACAGCAAAGCUGAGAAGGUACAGAGAUUUCCCAUAUAGCCCCUGUCCAAAGGCACAGCCUUCCCCAUCAUCAACAUCAUCCACAAGCAUGAUACAUUUGUUACAAUUUACAAAACUACACUGACACAUCAUUAUCACCUAGAGUCCACAGUUUACAUUAGGGUUCACUGCUAGUGUUAUACAUUCCAUGGGUUUAAACAAAUGUCUAAUAACAUGUAUCCAUCAUUACAGUACUAUAUAGAGUAUUUUCACUGCCUCAAAAUUCUGUCCCACCUAUUCAUCCUCCCUCCCCUCUAACUCCCAGCAAACACUUAUGUUUUUACUGUCUCCACAGUUUUGCCUUCUCUAGAAUGUCAUAUAGUUGAAAUCAUACAGUUAGACUUCGCCUUUUCAGAUUGGCUUUUUACUUAGUAAUAUGCAUUUAAGUUUUCUCCAUGUCUUUUUAUGGCUUGAUAUCUCAUUUCUUUUUAGCUCUGAAUAAUAUUUCAUUGUCUGGAUGUACCACAGUUUACUUAUCCAUUCACUUACUGAAUGACACCUUGGUUGCUUCCAAGUUUGGCAAUGAUGAAUAAAGCUGCUCUAAAAACCUGUGUGCAAGUUUGGUGUGGGCAUAAAUUUUCAACUCCCUUAGGUAAAUAUCAAAGAAUUCAAUCAUUGGAUCAUAUGGUAAGAGUACGUUUAGUUUCGUAAGAAACUGUCAAACUGUUUUCCAAAGUGCCUGGACCAUUUUGCAUUCCCACCAGCAAUGAACAAAAGUUCCUGUCGCUCCACAGCCUCGUUAGCAUUUGGUGUGGUCAGUGUUCUGGAUUUUGGCCAUUCUAAUAGGUGUGAAGUAGUAUCUCCUGGUUUUAAUUUGCACUUCCCAGAUGAUAUAAUGUGGAGCAUAUUUUUACACAUUUAUUUGUCAUCUGUAUAUCUGUGGUGAGGUGUCUGUUAAGGUCUUUGGCCCAUUUUUUAAUAAGGUUGUUUGUCUUCUUAUUGUUGAGUUUUAAGAGUUCCUUGCAUAUUUUGGAGAACUGUCCUUUAUCAGAUAUGCCUUUUGCAUAUAUUUUCUCCCAGCCUGUGGCUUGUCUUUUCACUCUCUUGACAGUGACUUUCACAAAGCAGAAGUGUUUAAUUUUAGUGAAUUAGAGUUUGUAAAUUCUUUUCAUGGAUUGUGCCUUUGGUGAACUUCACGUGUUCUUCUCUUUCCCCACCCCGCAACUUAGGUGGGACAGGAUGCUAUUGUGGGCUGGAGUUGGGUAUUUCCCUUCCCCGGGGUCAGUUAGGCUGUGGUUAACUAGUUCUUCAGAGGGCAUGCCUUAUUAAGAAGAACAGAAUGCUCUGUCUUAUUUCAAAAUAGUUCCUUUUCCCUACCCCUGCCAGGAGGUCAAGAGGAAUUUUCUUCAACAUUCACUAUGAGGACCCAGUUGACCUCCUGAAGGGAGGAAACCGGACUGGGCCGUCGUCCAUCCACAGGAGGAAACAGCGCCUUCCUCGCGGGCCCAUGGCAGCGCCGUGCGCUCCAGGCCCUUCCCACCCGAGGCGUCCUACCCGCGGGGCGCACUGCUCGGUUUCGGAAAAACUCAAAAAAAAAAAAAAAAAACCCCUUUGCAGGAAUGUGUCUCUGGUCAAGAAUGUGGAGGCAUCCAGCAAGCACACAGGCUGUUACACAAACACGGAGACCCAGGAUCAGCUGGUCCAAAUGCCCAUCCACACCAGGACAGAUCUCGUGUAGGUGUCCCCUCCUUGCUGGAGUGGCCAGGUGCAACUGAUACAGGCUGGGGCUCCAGUGUGCAGCAAAGGAGCACUUUCCCUGUUUAGGAAACACUUUCAUAGGUCCCUGGUGUCCCCAUGCAAAGUGACUUGCUAAUUGGCCCCAGCUAUGAAAGUGGCAGUCAGGAUUUGAACCCACUUCUGCUGACCCAAAGCCUGUGAGUGGCACACUCAGCUAUCUGGCCUCUUGGGUCACAGGAGGCCAGAGAGGUCCAGGACCCAUCCAUUUUACAGAUGAGGAAACUGAGGCCCAGAGCCUGGAGCCAUACACAUAGCUCCCUGGGGUAUUUGGCCUAUGAUGAUCUCCCCUCAAAGUGGCUGCAUCUCUCUGUCUGGCCAUCCCCGGUCUCGUGCAUCUAUUGACUCACCUCCCUUCAUCAACCAACACACACACGUGCUGAUUACCUGCCGGGGCCCUGCACUGUGGGGAGGGGCUCCAAGGUCAGAGCACUUGGGAUGUAAAGAGAGCAUGGGCUGCCUGGGGGGAGUCCCACCCCCUCCCCAACACACGCAUUGUCCUCCACACCCCUGGAUGGGAAUAAGAUAAUUUGCCUUGCACGAGGCAAAUUGCUUAUGAAAUGUUACCUAUUCUAGUGGUUGCUAAUAACAUCCCUAUGGUUGGUACAAGAAAGUGAGCAUUGAGGGGGCCUGGGGGAUCUUUUUGGCAUGCAUGCCUCACUCAGCCCAGUCACCUUGGGUGCCAGGGACACAGCACACCUCCAGCCUCCCACAGGGCCGGUCUGGCUCCCCCUCCGAGGCUGCUGGAAAUUGCCCUGGCCAGAAACUGGGUUGGGAGUGCAGCAGGCUGGGAAGGCAUCCCCACAAAAGGAAUGAGCUUUUCAGGGGCACUUAAUAAAUCCUGGAUGAGGAAGCUGGUUUCAGGCCAUCGCCACACUGAACCAAGCGUGCUCAUGGAUGCCACAGAAAUCUACCCAACCCGUUGAAGAAAGGAAGACUCUCAGACAUUAAAAAGAGAUCUACAGUUACGGAGUUAGCAGAAACUUCCUAAAUUGAUUCAGGAGGAGGGGGAAGGAGUCCGAACCAGGUGGAAUUUCUCACACAGCCAACAGGAAUCCACAGUUUCGGCUCAAGGCCACCUCAUGUUCUAAUUGUGCUAAUGGUGAAUGUGAACCAGGCCUCUGAGCUUUUCAAUUUGGGGAUUUUGUUUUCCUUUCUGAAGAAUGCCCCUUGGACUCAUCCCAAGAGCUCUCAGGACCACAGUGGGGACUGAAGUAAAGCAAAAACGGCCCAGUAGUUGGAAGUUAGUAAGAACUCAUUCCACUCCUUGAGGGAGCACUACCUUCCUGGAUAUUCUCACCCUCACAUCCCUGUCGCCCUCCCCCCAAGAUGCUGCUGCCAUAGAAGAGAGAAACCCCAAGCCGUCAGCGGGGAGGGCAGGCCUGGGCUUUGGGGACCUGGCUGGCUGUAGGAGGGCAUGAAGGCAGCCCCCUUCCCUCCUAAGCCCUAUUCACAGCUGUGCACAAGGACCCCCACCUGGGCCAGCAUUCUCUAGGAGCUGAGCCUGGCUCAGGGGUGCGGGGCUGAUGACAAUAUCUCAGAUGUGCGUGGGGUCUGGUACUUUUCCAAAGGCUUUCAAAUGCAUUAUCUUGUUGGAGGCUCAUUUGAGGCAAGAACUCAGCAGACUGGAAAACAACUAAUUUACUGAAUCCUGAAUGGAGAGGAAGCCGAAUGCAGCGUGUGUUUUUGCUGAAUCUCAAACCAAAACAACCUUUUGUUAAAGAACAAACAAAUAAACAAAAAUGCUGAACGUCAGUUCACCAGGGAACACAGUCUGAACAGAGGCUCUGGGCAGGGAAAUAUGCAGCAAAUUCAAAUUCAACAAACGUGUAUUGGGAGAGGGGCCUGCUGGAGUCACAGAUGUGCUCAUGAGGGGCCCCUAAGAGCUUUUAAGGGGCAUUCCAGCAUGCAUCAGGAGACAAGGUUGAUCUUUCCACAGAGCAAAAACACUGAGCCAUGGGAGGUGCUGCUGGGAGCUGGCUGGGGAGGGGGCCCUCCAGUUUCUUCCUCCUGCUGGAGACUGGCUUCCUGGAGCCCAGCUUUGAGGGUGUAGAAGCCAGGGAUUGGAUGGGCAUCUCAGAGAGAAGCUGGCAAGAGCUGCCUAUUGCAAGGCCAUUAAGCAAGCUAAUGAGCCAUGAAGCCUCCCAGCCUUUCCGGCUGCCAGCCGUGCCUCCCCUCGGCUCAGAGAGCCCAUGCCCACCGACCGCCUUGUGACCGCUGUUAUUGUUACCUAACGUGUCGGGCCACGG
Molecule: long non-coding RNA, 10472 nt
Filed under: Equus caballus (horse)
Lineage: Eukaryota; Metazoa; Chordata; Mammalia; Perissodactyla; Equidae
Description: lncRNA (ENSECAG00000055289.1)
Source: RNAcentral